This is a long non-coding RNA of Homo sapiens (human), 10354 nucleotides long. RefSeq lists it as uncharacterized. NCBI's taxonomy places the organism in Eukaryota, Metazoa, Chordata, Mammalia, Primates, Hominidae. The transcript has 2 exons. The record is from RefSeq and is a predicted model, not a curated record.
AAUGCAGGAGGUCUAUUUAUUUGUCAAGUCAACGUUUAGUAAUAAGGGAGAACAAAGUUUACCCUGCUAUCAGAAAAUAAGAAAUCAGAAUCCAGUCAUAUGGGAUGGGAGAAGCUCGCAAGCUAUUACAACUGAACUCAGGAAGCAGAUAAUCAGCUAGGAAAGAGGUACCCUUAAAUGCCAGGCUGUAUCUGAGAGUGUAUCUCCCUUGAUCAGAGCCCAGAGUACAAGCUAAACAAUUCCUUCAUAAAUCAGCACACAUCAGCUUCUAAAAUCAGCAAUAUGUCUCCAAACAUCUUGAACUGACAUUAAGAAAUGCUGCACCAUUGAGAAAAUGGUUUCCAGUUAUUUGAACUUAAAGAAUUAACUUGUUGAAGCACAUCUUUAAUCAUUGAUAAGUUACUGAAUUCAAAGAGAAGUAAUAAUGAAUGGUAAACCAAUUAACUAGGAAUUAUAUUUCAAUUUUUUUUUGCUUUGGCAAACUUGAUGAUUAGUUGAUAUUUUUUCAAUAUUUAGGAACAAGGAACACAUAUAAAUUUCACAUUUGUGUUUUUAGCAUUUUGACCAGCAAUUCAUUUUUCAAUUUCAUGUGUGAAGCUAAACUGAUGAUCUGUUAAUCUUCGUUUGUUUGGAAUUAGCCUGAAAAGUGCUAAAUACUGCUUUUUGGAUAGAAUCUUGAGUGGACUAGAACCAGUUUGUUAGGAAAAAAUAAAUCUGAGCCUACUUUACGUUUGAAGUAACUGAACGAUUACAUGAUUGCUUGGCUAUUUUAACAGUUGAUCUUGAUUUCCACACAAUGUGCAAAUUUAUUAUUACUAUAAACAAAAGGGGAAAAAACCCUUACAUCUAUUACAAAAUGCUUUAAGAGAUAGUAUUUAGUCAUGAUAUUUAUUAACACAGUUCAUAGUAAAGCUGAAAUAUGGCAAUAAUCUGGUUAGUUUGAUUUAUGUGGAUAGACAAAUUAUCUGGUUGUCAAAUACAUUACAAAACUCAUAUUUUAAUUUCUAUUUUAUAGACAUGAUUUUAAUGAUCUGUAUAUUUUACAUUCAUGUCACGUUCGUACCCGAAAUCUCUAAUUAAUUCAUGUUUUCCAUUACACCUUGGAGUAAUCAUUGCCCAGCUAUAGGGAACAGUAUGAAAUGAAGUGUGUUAUGCAUCAUUAAAUGUUUAUGUUAAAAUAGGGCAUUAUCUAGUUAGUUAAUUUAGACCAGGUAAAACUACACAAAAACGUUUCUCUCUGUUGCUCAGCAAUUCAGCCGUUUCUCUGCACAUCCUUCCUCAAGUUCUCCUGUCCCAUUCACAUUAAUUAUUCAAGGUCCCGAAACUUUUUCUUCCAGCAACGUUUGCUCUGAUACUCAUUCAAAGGUAUAAAUAAUUGACAACAGCUUAGAAUGUGAGUUUUCUCAGUAGCAUUUGGAUUUUAUUGAGGUUCAAAUUUUUAAACUACAAAAAUGGUGAAUGCAUCAGUAAAUGGGUGAUGGAAAUAUUUGGGGAGGAUGCACUGUUUGCAGUUGUCCUUGAAAUUGGAUCAAGUAGCCACUUGCCUACUCUGUCUGCUAGGAAGGCAGAUAAGAAUUCUGCACCUUCCUCUUCUACCCCUUAAAACUCUCCUUUGUUUCACAUAACCAGAAAAUGUUUAUUUUAAUUAUCUAGAUAUUCCAUUUCUAUUUUUCCUUUUUUACUGUAAGAAAUGGCAUGGUAAAAGAUUCAAUAAAACCAUAGUAUUUUAUGCUCAAUACUCUAAAUUAAGAAUUAAAGUCCUACUAUCUAGAUGCCAUUCCAAAUGAUUAAUUUUGUUUCACAUUGUUCAUAAGAAUAAUACAUUACUUUAGGUGAUGUUUUUUCCCACCAAAUUGCUUAGUUAAAAAAAAAACAUUAGUAAUUGCUAGUUCCUAUUAUCUAAGUAGAUAAAAUAUAAUUAGAAAAACAACUGGAUAGUUUCACUCUACGUUGUUCUCAGUGCAAUGUCCAGUUUGCAAAUGCUUCAUUCAUUUGUUAAUUUUAGAGGACAGCAUUUCAGUGCAAUAAUUGAAAAUAGCUCAUAGCCUGUUCUGUGAAGAAACAAAACAUUGGUUGUGUUGGUGUCAAGUAAGUUAAUUAUGCUUUAUCACCUUCAAAUGGAGCAUAUAAUUGAUUUAUGAAAUUCUGCUAUCGUGUUGAGACCAUUAUUAGUAAUCAAGAAUUCCAAUAGUUUCUUCUUAUUCCUCAUGUACAAAAUCAUCUGGGUAUUCCAUAUGUUUAAAAACAAUUCAAUUUGGAGCACUUGUACUAUCAUAAAUUGAUGAAUUAAAAACUAGAUACAAAGUGUGGAAACUACUGUAAAAGAUUACUGACUUCUAAAAAAUAUUGCAUUUAUUGUGGCAAUACAUUCUUAUUCAGCAAUAUGACUAUGUAAUUUUUCUGUAGUACUUUGUAGAAUUUUCAUUAAUUCCACUUAAAAUCAAUGGCUUAUAUACAGUUCUUUUUUGUGACAUGAAAACUAUAACAUUUUGGCUGAUCAAUGUUCUUUUGCUUGUUUACUUUUAGGUCUUUACAAUUACCUAAGGAAUUGCCUGAGGCAUUGAACAUAUUGCCGGAUAUUUAGCUGCAAACAAACAAAAAUGUUUUCAAACAAGGAUGUAGAUGAAAAAGCUAUACAAUGAUUUUAAUACCACCUCCACUCCAUCACCUCUACACCACCAGCACUGUCACACAUACUCUCAGAAUGUUUGGUAUCAUAUACAACUCUCCUAAAGCAAGAGAUAAUGUCAAAAAUUUAAAAAGAGAAUGCUACUCCUACAUUUCCAGGUAACAUAAAGAGUUGUAACCCUUGAACUUCCUGUAUAUAUUAAUAUUUGUUUUCAACACACUAAUUGCCUUGGACCUCUAUGAAUUUUAUGUAUUUAAUAAAUUAAUGCAAGUGUUCAUCUUAAUUUUAGAUUUACAUUUGUUAUCUUUGAACUAUAUCAAUUUCUCAUAAAACAAUUAAGAAACAGCAUAAACAAAAAGGGAAAUGAAAAUAUUUCAUUUCAUUAUUUAAGUGUUUGAUAAUGCUUGGUAUCAAGUAGACAUAAUCAGAAGAGUAUUUAAUAAAGCAAUGGAUUAGGAAGGGGCUGUUAGAGAACAUAGAUGGUAUUACUCUUUAAUAAUUAGGUACAAAAAUAAGGUCUUAAUAAAUUGGAAAUUUAUGUUUUCCAUUGAAUGUUCUUAAAAUGCCAAUAGAAUUAUAGUGAAAUGAUUUUCUUUGCUGAUUCCUAUGAUAGUAUGAUACAUACCUUAUUUUAGAUAUUUACAUUUUCAUUCUGUUAGAAUGAAAUACCUGUAUGUAUUCCAUGUGCUGACAUAUAACAAAAUCUGGGAUUUAAGAAAAUGUACUUCAAAAAUGUAAAAAUUGCAGAUAAUUGAAAUUUGAGGUAUUUAUAAUACAAAUAAGGACCAUUUAAAAUAUACCAACAGGCAUUAUUAAAAAUAAGUAUAUAGUUCUGUAAAGAUUGUGUGUGUUAUAUAUUGACUAUCAAACACUGGACAUUUGUGAACUAGCUUUUUGCUAUUCCUAAGUAUUAUCUUUCCAAAAACUUGCUAUGAAGGUCAUUUAUAUUUCCUUUCUAAAUGGAUUUUGAAUAAAACAUAAGAGCUGUAUUUAACAUUCUGCAUCUGAAUUCCAAGACUCUGAUUGUAUGCCUUCUUUUACAUUACAAAUCUAUCAAAUAGAGAUGAUUUUCCUUUUGAAUUCCAUAUUACCUAGCAAUAUUUAACACCUGAAAUGCUAGAAGUGGCACCCAUUGAUCUUUGCUCUGCAUUGAAAGUUGAUCAGUACAUGGCCUCAUGAAAGAAAAAUGUUCUUUCUAGGGUUUAAUAAAUGCUUCACAAUGAGUUUUUUUUUUUAAGUAGGCCUUAAUACCUAAUCACUUGCAUUCGGUGGCUAGAUUUGAGUGGAUAAGAACACCUACCAAAGUACAACUUCCAAUUUUUAUUUCAGAAGGAAACCAUCCUUGAGAGAUGAGAAAAUAACUUACUUUAAGCUUUAUUCAUUUUUGUAUUUGGCUGCCAUAAAAUAUCUUUUACUAAGUAGCUUUAGGGUUUUUUUUUUAAUCUAAUCCUGAUUAAAUUAAAAGAAAAACCUGGUAAGUUAAUUGUAAGCUUUCCCAUAAAAGAGAGAAGCACAAAAUGCCAUGGAAUAUAUCCAAGAAACAUAACAUAAACAUGAGACUUACAAUGCACAAUUUAAAAUUUCAUAUGUUGUCAAAUGAUAAAUGUCUGUUCCAGCUAUGAAUACUUUAACUUCAAAAAUCUUUCAUAGCCUUAAAAAAGAACUCUCACAGAAACAGAAGCUGGAAUGUUAUUUGUGAACUAGGCCUUGCACCUUGUCAAUAUUUUUAGUUCUUAAAUUUCUGGAAUGUUCUAAAGACAUAAAACAUCUACUUCAUUUUGAAAUUUUGAUUUUAACAUUUCACUAACAACACUGGGAAAGGAUCAUCUUAACUAAAGGUGUCAAGACUAACGUUUGAGCUUAGCCGUUGAACUUUCUCUUAGGGGAAACAGUUUAAUCCCCAAGUACUAUGAGAUAGGCGUUUUAAGGCAACUUUUUAAAAAGGAAAAUAAAUCUGCUUUUUGCCGUCUAGGAAAGAUACAUUUUUCCUUGUGGAAAUCUGCAGUCUGAAAAGACAGAUAUGAAAAGCAUGAACUGUUGAAAAUAACCUAAAUGUUCUUUGAAAAUUUAAAGGCCAGCUUAUCCUGCAAUGGUGAUAGAAUAGUCGGCUUACAACACGCAAAGCCGAGCCGCGGGUGGGCAGGCGCCGCCCGUGGCUCGCGGAGUGGAUGCACUCGAGGGCGCGGCCGCUGCGCUUGGGGAACUUUCAGGGCGCCAAGUACGGGUAGCGCUUCUGAUGGAUUCCCGGGUCUGGGAGGAUCCGAUUAUCCCGGGGCCGGGUGACACGCACAAAGCUGAGGUUAGAGUUGGCCAGGAAGGGAGGACCUGGUGAGCCGGUGGAACAAAAGCGGGAAGGCCUUUCCUUCUAGGAGCAAAACCAGCGACGCGUCCCGGACGCCCGGGGACCCCUGUGGGUCUCGGUUUCCUUCGCUGUGACCCUGACAUGUUUCCCUCCACCGGCCCGAGGAAACCGUCGCUUCCAGCCUCCAGGUACCGUCACCUCUGCGGGGCUGCGAGCGGAGGACCGGGACAGAGAAGGAGCCGGCGGUCCUGGCCAGCCGCGCGGCUCAAAACCCGACGGCGCGGGGACUCCGGGCCUGGGGCCUCCAUGGCUGUGGCCUCCUUAUCUCCCGGGCCGGCUGCUCCCUACGCUGCGGGGCUGAGGGCACUGGGGACCCAGGGGCUUCUCUGGCACUAGCGAGGACCUAACCUUGAGUGAAGAACGAUGUCAAGUGAAAGUGAAGAAUAACGGGGGUGGGCGCGAAGAGAAUGGUCUUGGGGCGCGCUUGCGCCUCUACCCGAGGACCGAGGUGGGGAUUCGACAGACGCCAGCGGUGGGGAUCCGGGGCGAGAAGCCCCGACUUUCUGAGUCGUGAGCCGCCUCCAGUCGCCCCAGGACGUAACCCCGAGGAGCUUUCAGACACUGGCCGCGCCUAAUAUCGCUGAGAACCGCGAAAACCGGAGUUCCGGCCGCCUCCCGGACUGGCGUCCCGAGGCCAGGGGACCCGCUUGGGGCUCCCGGCCGAGCCCCGACCUCGGACGUUUUUCCGGGAGCCGCGAGAGGCCUGGGGGCCUGGGCCAGGCGCCGCGGCGGGCAUCGAUCGCCGGCUCCCAGAGAGUGGCCCCGCGCAGGUGGAGGUGACCCCGUCACCUCCAGGAGCGCCCCCAAGCCCCGGUACCCGCAGCGUGCGCCCUCUCCUCCUCCCCGAAGGUGUUAUCUUAGGAGCCAAGCAUCUCCUUUGGUCCUGCGCUCCUUCGCCUAGCGCCUGGUGCCCCCCACCCGGCUGCAUCCGAGGCUUGCGCGGCCCGGUCCCAUCAGCCGAGCGUCGCCCGCCCAGGAGGAGGCUCGGGUUCUCCGCAGAAGCGAAUACUUUCUCUUUUUGUUUUAAGUUAGAACCUUGCUUUUGCAGUGAUUCGUUGCUGUGGCGUGAUUUUAAACAGGUGAGAAAUCGGAGUCUCAUUUUCCCAGGGGGGCUUCCAAUGAGGAUUUUAAGAGAAGCGUGCAAAGAAGACAGCAAUGUCCAUCUUUUUUUUUUCUUGUUUUCUUUUGAACAGAGGGAACCCCCACGCGCUGAGAUAGUUAUGUUUUUAAGGCUAAACUUUUUUAAAAUUAGUUUUUCUUUUACACUUAUGGCUGACUUUUGAUCCUUUUAAAGAAAGGAUGAAGUCAAAACAGAUUAAUGCUUUUGAAUACACAACGUCCCCACGUCCCCAAAUUGUGGUGCUGGGAUAGUUCCUCUAAGAUGCAUUCUGAUUUUGAAGUUCAAGGUCUCUAAGCGCUGUUAAGCGGAACCAUGAAAAAUACGUUGCUACAUUAAAGAUAAAACAGACGGUGAUACUGACUGCAGAAUCGUAGUAGAAACUUUUUUUUUUUUUUUGAGGCUGUGCAGGAUUUGCCUUGGUUUUAUUAGGGAACCUGCUAAUAGAAGCAAUUUCAAGUGACGGGCUUCCCUCAGUAAAAAGCUGGAAGCAAUGACAUCUUUUCUAUCUGAGUGACUCUCCUUAGUCGUGGUAAAUAAAUAAAUAAAUAAAUAAAUAGAUAGAUAGAUAGAUAAAUAAAUAAAUAAAUAAAAAUUAGUUUACAUGCAGUGUUUGAAAAGAAAAUGAUUUUGCUUCCCAAGUUUUUAUGUGUUUUCUUUUUUACCAACUAUAUUUCACUUUAUUUACAAUUGUCAGUUUAUUCUCACACCUUCUGGUUAGUUUUAUCUUCUCACCAUGGUCUGUUAGAACCCCAUCCUCGAGCAAAAAAACAAAAACAAAAACCACCCCCCCAAAACAAACAAACAAACAAACAAAACAGGUGUUCAUCCCUGUGAGAUGCUAAUGCCCCUGGAACUGUUUGAAAAGAGCAAAAUUUUGUAAGGAGAUUCUUUUCAAAAAGUGUUAGAGAAGUAUUCUUCAAAAACAUCUUAGAAUGUUUCCUUAAAAAAUUUCCUUUCUUGGUUUUCAUUAAUUGCCUUUGAUUAAAAUUAGGUUACAAACAUAUCUUAAUUUCAGACUGUUUCUUUAUAAAAGAAAGGAGAAAGUAAAUAGGUGUUGGCAAGGACUAAACCAAUGCAACUAGGCCCUGUUGAGAGCCUAAAUCUGUAAACUGGUACCCUUAAAAAACAUCAAUCAACUUGAGGUUCGUACAGGUAGUUCUUUGACUCAAACAGUUGAUUUUUAAAAGUCUUAUAAAAUAGGUUAAAAUGUGUUUUUAGUCCAGGUUCCUACUUCUUUGUUAUGCAUUUCUCCUCGUAGAUAAAUAAAUGAAUCUAACUUGAUGAGUAGGUAGAUUUUUCUCCAGAAGAACUUUCUAAAAAUGGGCAAAGUUAGGGAAGUGAUUAAUACCCUUCAGUUUAAUUGGAAUUAUUCAGUGCUUAUACCAAGUUAAUCCUAUUAAGAUGCUAUUUCCUGCUCAGGGGGAUAAAUUAAGCACAACUUAGAUUAUUUUAGGUGGACAACUGGUAUAUAGUCUAAGCAAUGGGGGCUGGAAAAAAGUAUCUCUUCUCCAAAAAAUAUAGAUUAUGUACCAGUAAUGUUCAAAGUACUUUGAGGAAGUGUAUUGAUGGGAUGAAUAUAAAUCAUAGUGACUGUUGUUAAGGGGUUUACGGAUUAUAAAGAGCAAUUGAGCUUCCUUUAUUUUCUCUUAUUUAGAAAACAAACAUUCAUAAGAAAAAAAUAAAAUUAGAUCCCUUCUUUUGCCCACAUACAAAUUCAGUUUCAGAUCAAUUAAAAAGUUAAAUAAGAAAAAUAGAAUUAAAAAAAUAUUGGAAGGCUGGGCGCAGUGGCUCACGCCUGUAAUCCCAGCACUUUGGGAGGCCAAGGCGGGCAGAUCACGAGGUCAGGAGAUUGAGACCAUCUUGGCCAACAUGGGGAAACCCUAUCUCUAGUAAAAAUACAAAAAUUAGCUGGUUGUGGUGGCACAUGCCUGUAAUCCCAGCUACUCGGGAGGCUGAGGCAGGAGAAUCGCUUGAACCUGGGAGGCAGCGAUUGCAGUGAGCCGAGAUCGCGCCACUGCACUCUAGCCUGGCAGCAGAGUUAUCUCUGUAACUCUCCAUCUCAAAAAAAAACAAAAAAAAUUGAAAGGAAAUAUAGAAUUUGUAGUAUGAAAGGAUUUCUUAAACAAAACAUUAAAAUACACAAUCCAUUAAGGAAAUGAUCAAUUGGAUGACAGUCAUGCUCCAAAUAAUGAUAUGUUAGUCAAUACAUGAUAAUAGUCCCAUAAGGUUAUAAUAUUGUAUAUUUACUGUACCUUUUCUAUGUGUAGAUGUGUCUAAUUAUACAAAUACCAUUGUGUUACAAUUGCCUACAGUAUUCAAUACAGUCACAUGCUGUACAGGUUUGCAGCCUAGGAGCAAUAGGCUUGUACCAUAUACAAACCAUCUAGGUUUGUGUAAUUACACUCUAUGAUGUUAGCAUGACAAAACUGCCUAUGGACCUAUUUCUCAGAAUAUGUCCCUGUAGUUGAGUGCCAUGUGACUGUAUAUAAAAAUUUUUAAAAAUACUUUUUACAUGACAAAAGAUAUCAUAAAAUGUUACAAGAUAAACUGAGAAGAUAUUUUCAAGGCAUGUACUUGGUGAAGGAUUCAUAUUCAAAAUGUAUAAAUAACUUAUAUAGAAAGAAUUUACUAAUUUAUGUAUAAUGAAUUUCAUAAAUAAAAGAUGUGGGCCAGGAUAUAUACAUAUGAAGUGAAAGUAUAGUACUAUCAAUAGGAUGAAUACAUAUCAACUUCAAAAAAUGUAAUUUCCUUUGGGAUAGAAAGAAAGAAGGAAGGAGGGGGAAUAGGAAGAGGGCAACAACUUCCUGCCCAGGGGGCAACAACUCUUUUUUUUUUUUUUUUUGAGACAGAGUCUUGCUUUUGUCCCCCAGGCUUGAGUACAAUGACUCGAUCUCGGCUCACUGCAACCUCCGCCUCUCGGGUUCAAAUGAUUCUCCUGCCUCUGCCUCCCAAGUAGCCAGUUAAGGCACCUGCCACCAUGCCCGUCUAAUUUUUGUGUUUUUUAGUAGAGACGGAGUUUCACCAUUUUGGCCAGGCUGGUCUCGAACUCCUGACCUCAGUUGAUCCGCCCACCUCAGCCUCCCAAAGUGCUGGGAUUACAGGCAUGAGCCACUGCGCCCAGCCCACAGCAAUUCUUUAUAAAAAGAUCAGAGGCAACUAUGGGAAGACAUUAACACUUUUUGUUCUUUGUAGAUUGUUAAAAGCUUGUUAUAAUUUAUUUAAAAAUCUCUAACAUCAAUUCCUAGUCUAAAGAAUGAACAAAUGACACAUUUCUUUUCCUUAGUCAAUAAUAAUCUUGUAAGAUGGUGUUCACGUGCUUUUCUUUGAGGGCAAAGAAAACACCAUUCCCCAGUGUUUUUCCUGGGCAGUGUUUGAAUAUUAUAUGAUACUCACAGCAGAGAUUUUCCUAGUUUGGCUUCUGUUGUAAGCUUGUUUUCUGAGUAGAUUUAAAUGAGAAGAACAGAAACAUAUUUGAAACUAUGACUAUGUAUAAGAGCAUUUAUUCUCCUAUAAUGAAAUCGUGGAAAAUGUUUUUAAAAAGUGAGCAAACAAAAACCUCCACACCAUUAUAGAAACACGGUUAAAAAACUAUUGAAUAAUCUCAAGCCUAGUGUGUAAUAAUUAUUAAGUGUGUCUAAUUUGUUGUGCUAAGUGUCAGGAAUUGGUAUUGUGGAAGGAUAUGUGAGAUCUCAUUUUCUCCUUUUAUAUGGCAGGAGUUUAUACAGUAUUUACAUCUGUCAUUGAUACUUUUUAUGAACAGAAGUUUUGUUUACUUAUAACUUCCACAGGGAUUAUUCAUAUGGAGCACUGGAAAGAUGUAACAUUUCAUUUGCUUUGAUACCUUGUGUUUAUUUUAGGUCGAAAAGCAUCAUGAAGCCAAGUGGUUAUUGUUUUGCUUAUUCAGUGUGAACUGAGUGAGCCAGGUUUGUAUACCAAGUGAUUCUCGUGGUGGACAAUACCAAUAUGAUUAUGCCAAAUGCAUUGCUUCUGAGGCAUCACUCUUUGGGCACAUAUAGACCCUGCUGAUUUCUGCCAAAGCACUCUUCUUAAAGUUCCAAAACAUUACCCCAAAACCUCUAUAGCCCCCUAUUGCCAACAAAAUUAAAGCCUUUCUCUUCAUUGGCAUUAGAAGCCCCUGUAACCCAUUGCUUUUCCAUUUCCAGCCUCUUUCCAAAAUUACCAAACAAACUCUGUAUCCUGCAGCCACCAAACUGUACUAGUUGUAAUAUAUUCACUAAGAACA